RNAcentral lists this ribosomal RNA (601 nucleotides) under uncultured bacterium. RNAcentral's name for it is "bacterial SSU rRNA". It matches the Rfam family "Bacterial small subunit ribosomal RNA", at positions 728 to 1333 of the family's 1533-position model. The record is from RNAcentral.
ACGAGUCCUCAACUGACGCUAAUGCUCGAAGGUGCGGGUAUCGAACAGGAUUAGAUACCCUGGUAGUCCGCACGGUAAACGAUGGAUGCCCGCUGUUGGCGAUACAGUGUCAGCGGCCAAGCGAAAGCGUUAAGCAUCCCACCUGGGGAGUACGCCGGCAACGGUGAAACUCAAAGGAAUUGACGGGGGCCCGCACAAGCGGAGGAACAUGUGGUUUAAUUCGAUGAUACGCGAGGAACCUUACCCGGGCUUGAACUGCAGGGGAACGAUCCAGAGAUGGUGAGGUCAGCAAUGACCCCUGUGGAGGUGCUGCAUGGUUGUCGUCAGCUCGUGCCGUGAGGUGUCGGCUUAAGUGCCAUAACGAGCGCAACCCCUGCGCGUAGUUGCCAUCAGGUCAUGCUGGGCACUCUGCGCGGACUGCCACCGUAAGGUGUGAGGAAGGUGGGGAUGACGUCAAAUCAGCACGGCCCUUACGUCCGGGGCUACACACGUGUUACAAUGGGUGGUACAGAGAGCUGGGCGCCGGCAACGUCGCCCGAAUCGUGAAAGCCAUCCUCAGUUCGGACUGGGGUCUGCAACCCGAUCCCACGAAGCUGGAUUC